RNAcentral lists this ribosomal RNA (687 nucleotides) under uncultured bacterium. Its description in RNAcentral is "bacterial SSU rRNA". It matches the Rfam family "Bacterial small subunit ribosomal RNA", at positions 137 to 838 of the family's 1533-position model. The record is from RNAcentral.
UCUGGGAUAACUCCGGGAAACCGGGGCUAAUACCGGAUAUGAGCCUUGAUCGCAUGAUCGGGGCUGGAAAGUUUUUCGGUUGAAGAUGACUUCGCGGCCUAUCAGCUUGUUGGUGAGGUAAUGGCUCACCAAGGCGACGACGGGUAGCCGGCCUGAGAGGGCGACCGGCCACACUGGGACUGAGACACGGCCCAGACUCCUACGGGAGGCAGCAGUGGGGAAUAUUGGGCAAUGGAGGAAACUCUGACCCAGCGACGCCGCGUGAGGGAUGAAGGCCUUCGGGUUGUAAACCUCUUUCAGUAGGGAAGAAGCGAAAGUGACGGUACCUACAGAAGAAGCACCGGCUAACUAUGUGCCAGCAGCCGCGGUAAUACAUAGGGUGCAAGCGUUGUCCGGAAUUAUUGGGCGUAAAGAGCUCGUAGGUGGUUCGAUACGUCGGAUGUGAAAAUCAGGGGCUCAACCCCUGACCUGCAUCCGAUACGGUCGAGCUAGAGUUUGGUAGGGGAGACUGGAAUUCCUGGUGUAGCGGUGGAAUGCGCAGAUAUCAGGGGGAACACCGAUGGCGAAGGCAGGUCUCUGGGCCAAUACUGACACUGAGGAGCGAAAGCGUGGGGAGCGAACAGGAUUAGAUACCCUGGUAGUCCACGCCGUAAACGGUGGGCGCUAGUUGUGCGAACCUUCCACGGU